Molecule: long non-coding RNA, 2131 nt
Organism: Sapajus apella (tufted capuchin)
Lineage: Eukaryota; Metazoa; Chordata; Mammalia; Primates; Cebidae
Exons: 2
Source: RefSeq, a predicted model, not a curated record
CCGAAAUUUGGAAACUUUUUUCUUAGAAUAGAAGCAUAUUUUGAUAAAGAAAAUACAAUUAGAAGCCAAAAUUGAUAUGCUUUGAAUAACUUUAUUUGAAAAAAACUGUGUUACUCUAUUUCUAAUAUUAUGUCCUCAACAAUAUCACAGAAUUAAGUAGUGGAAAGAACACUGGACUUGGUGUCUGAAAAUAUAAGAUCAAUUUCAGGAUCUACCAGCUAAUAAUUAUGUGAACUUCCAAAUUAAGGUAACACCCUGAACUUCCUAACACUCUGUGAAAUAAAAAAAUAAAAAUACUAUAGGAUUGUGGAGAUUGUGUGAAAUCUAUAUGAAAGCACUUUGUGAACUGUGUGUCACAUAAUGUAAGUUGUAGAAAUUGUUUUCAUUACCAUUAUGAACAAGAAUAAGUAAUUGUAAGAUUAAACAUGAACAGCAGAUAUUUUCUAGAAUAUAAAACAUUUCAGGAAAACAAGGAAGAGUACUUAGUGACCUGAGUCAGUAAAAUUCAUCUAAAAUGCCUCAACUGUUGCUCAUCAUAUAAUACCUCAUUUAAAAUAAUUAAAAGUGAGAUCUAAAGUUAGUUUGCAUUGUCUGUAUUGAAUUAGCAUCGGUGAAAAGAACAAUGCAGUAGGAGUGGAAAUGAUCUUACUACAGACAAUUCUAUGCCGCUUAAAAAAUCAUUUCUUGACCCAGAUUCUGUGUGUCAGAUAUAGUAUCUCUAUAUUACUGGGAAAAAGCUUAGUUUUUCCAGAUAUUACUUUUUGUGGUUUAGUUUUCCUCAGAGUGAUAAAGUGCUGGUUGGCCUUAUCUAGCUUUAGGUUUGUACUUUAUUAAGAGACCCUGAUGCUUUAAUGGCACAUAAGUUGUAUUUCCUGGGAUUCUUCUUGUCAGGAGCUUAAUGCUGAAAGCAGAUGACAUGUAAACUGCCCCUACAACACCCAUUACACUCAAAGUGAUAAAUUUGUUUUUAAAUUUGUAUAUAAAGUGAUAAUAAAAUAAAUAGAAUUGUCAAAUAAAAUAGUCAAUCAUGAGUGGGUACUACAUAGAAUCACUGCUCCUCAUUUUGGUUUUAAAAAUCUAACUGAGGCUUUAAAGUUGCAGAGAAAAUCCUAGAGGCCACAGUAUUUUAAAUUAAACCUAUCAUUUACAAUGAAGGAAUGAGCCAUACUUAAUUUUUAAUGUUCCAACAUUUUUUGACUUUCCAUUUUUAAGCUGUACAAUUUUAUGCAAGCCGCUUUUACCCUAUGAGUCUUAAUUGCUUUUCUUUAAUAUAUAAAGAGGUUGAAAUAUGUUAUUUUUAAUAAUCCUGGAAGUCUCAAAAAUGCAUUUGAUUAUUUAAAAUAAUGGUUUACUAUAAAAUCCCUGGAAGAUAACCUAGGAAAUACCAUUCUGGAUGUGGGACCUGGCAAAGAAGUCAUGACAAAGAUGCCAAAAGCAAUUGCAACAAAACUGAAAAUUGACAAAUGGUACCUAAUUAUACUAAAGAGCUUCUGCACAGCAAAAGAAACUGUCAACAGAGUAAACAGACAACCUACAGAAGGGGAGAAAAUUUUGACAAACUAUGUAUUUGACAAAGGUUUAAAAUUCAGAAUCUCUAAGGAGCUUCAACAAAUUUACAAGAAAGAAAACAGCCACAUUAAAAAGUGGGCAAAGGACAUAAGCAGACACUUUUCAAAAGAAGACAUAUCAGCAGCUGACAGUCAUAUGAAAAAAAAAUCAAUGUCACUGAUAAUUACAGAAAUACCAAUCAAAAGAACAAUGAAAUACCAUCUCAUACCAGCCAGAAUGAAUAUCACUAAAAAGGGAAAACAAUAACAGACGCUGGAAAGGCUGUGAAAAAGGGAAGACUUAUGCAGUGCUCGUGGGGAUAAAACCUAGUUCAGCCAUGGUGGAAGGCAGUUUGGUGAUUUCUCAAAGAACUUAAAACAUUGCCAUUCAACCCUGCAAUACUAUUACUAGCUAUAUGCCCAAUGGAAUAUAAAUCAUUCUAUCAUAAAGACACAUGCAUGUGUAUGUUCAAUGCAGCAUUAUUCACAAUACCAAAGACAUGGAAUCAACCUACCUGCCCAUCAAUGGUAAAUAGAAUGAAGAAGAUGUGGUGCACAGAUACCAUGGAAUACUAUGCAGCCAU